AUACGGAGGAUGCAAGCGUUAUCCGGAUUUAUUGGGUUUAAAGGGUGCGUAGGCGGUUUGCUAAGCGGGAGGUGAAAUGCCGGCGCUCAACGUCGGAAGUGCCUCCCGAACUGGUGGACUUGAAUGACUCUGCCGUGGGAGGAAUGUGUAGUGUAGCGGUGAAAUGCUUAGAGAUUACACAGAACACCGAUUGCGAAGGCAUCUCACGAAGGGUUGAUUGACGCCGAGGCACGAAAGCGUGGGGAUCAAACAGGAUUAGAUACCCUGGUAGUCCGCGCACUAAACGAUGUCAACUAGCUGUUGGGUUCUUCGGGACUUAGUAGCGCAGCUAACGCGUGAAGUUGACCGCCUGGGGAGUACGGUCGCAAGAUUAAAACUCAAAUGAAUUGGCGGGG
RNAcentral lists this ribosomal RNA (395 nucleotides) under uncultured bacterium. Its description in RNAcentral is "partial 16S ribosomal RNA". It matches the Rfam family "Bacterial small subunit ribosomal RNA", at positions 523 to 918 of the family's 1533-position model. The record is from RNAcentral.